GGAAGUGCGCACUGCCUUCUGCGCCUGCGCCGCGCCUGCAGCCUCAGGCGACCCCUAGGUGUGGGGAUGGCCCUUGGCAUAAGUAAUCCGACGGUCUCGUCCCGCCUGCAGUGAUUCGGGAAAGGUAGGGGAUGAGUUUCAUCUUUAGGUGGAUGCCCCAGGACAGAAUUGUGGGAAGCCAAGAGAGCUCUGCAUUCCUUCUUUCCUUGAAACGUUUUGUUUUUUUUUUUUUUCCUACUUGGUGGACUUGAGAGCAAGACUCCUGAGCUGCCAUGAAGACACAAAGGGUAGGGAGCUGCCAAGUUUAGGGUAAUAAUUUGUGAACCUGAAUUGCCGAGUGUGGCAGACUGCUGUGGCCAGUAUGAGAGGCUUCCUGUGGAGAUGAAGACUGGGGGAAGAAGAACCUGAAGGAAAAGCUGGACCAGUUCAGUUCAAUAAAAACAAACAUUUAUUAAAUGCUAA
Long non-coding RNA from Trichosurus vulpecula (common brushtail), 462 nucleotides. RefSeq lists it as uncharacterized. The record is from RefSeq and is a predicted model, not a curated record. NCBI's taxonomy places the organism in Eukaryota, Metazoa, Chordata, Mammalia, Diprotodontia, Phalangeridae. The transcript has 2 exons.